CCUCUGCCAUUUAGGAGUUAAAUCCCUUUGUUUAUGAACCCUAGUCACACCUCCCUGCAUGUGACUUGCACAGCCUUCCAUAAACACUUCCUGUAAAGAGAGCCCUAUUUAGGCGUUCUUUAUUGCAAGUUCUGUUUAAUUAAGAUUUUCUUAUCCCCUGCUAUGUUAAUAGCUUGCUAGACCCUGCAAGAGCCUCCUGAAUGUGAUUAAAGUUCAAUUUAGAGAUUGAGAUACAAUUAUUUAAGGUAAAUUACAUCUGUUUGAAAGUGAAACCAGUUUUUUUUUCAUGCAGGCUCUGUCAAUCAUAGCCAGGGGAGGUGUGGCUAGGGCUGCAUAAACAGAAACAAAGUGAUUUAACUCCUAAAUGACAGUGAAUUGAGCAGUGAAAUUGCAGGGG
This is a non-coding RNA of Pelobates cultripes (western spadefoot toad), 397 nucleotides long. The record is from the annotation of a GenBank genome assembly. NCBI's taxonomy places the organism in Eukaryota, Metazoa, Chordata, Amphibia, Anura, Pelobatidae.